Molecule: ribosomal RNA, 515 nt
Filed under: uncultured bacterium
Lineage: Bacteria
Description: partial 16S ribosomal RNA
Rfam family: Bacterial small subunit ribosomal RNA
Source: RNAcentral
GAUGAACGCUGGCGGCGUGCCUAAUACAUGCAGGUCGAGCGAAUGGAUUAAGAGCUUGCUCUUAUGAAGUUAGCGGCGGACGGGUGAGUAACACGUGGGUAACCUGCCCAUAAGACUGGGAUAACUCCGGGAAACCGGGGCUAAUACCGGAUAAUAUUUUGAACUGCAUGGUUCAAAAUUGAAAGGCGGCUUCGGCUGUCACUUAUGGAUGGACCCGCGUCGCAUUAGCUAGUUGGGGAGGGAACGGCUCACCAAGGCAACGAUGCGUAGCCGACCUGAGAGGGUGAUCAGCCACACUGGGACUGAGACACGGCCCAGACUCCUCCGGGAGGCAGCAGUAGGGAAUCUUCCGCAAUGGACGAAAGUCUGACGGAGCAACGCCGCGUGAGUGAUGAAGGCUUUCGGGUCGUAAAACUCUGUUGUUAGGGAAGAACAAGUGCUAGUUGAAUAAGCUGGCACCUUGACGGUACCUAACCAGAAGGCCACGGCUAACUACGUGCCAGCCGCCGCAGUAA